CGAACGGAAAGGCCCUGCUUGCAGGGUACUCGAGUGGCGAACGGGUGAGUAACACGUGGGUGAUCUGCCCUGCACUUCGGGAUAAGCUUGGGAAACUGGGUCUAAUACCGGAUAGGAACCAUCUUUAGUGUGGUGGUUGGAAAGUUUUUUCGGUGUAGGAUGAGCUCGCGGCCUAUCAGCUUGUUGGUGGGGUAAUGGCCUACCAAGGCGGCGACGGGUAGCCGGCCUGAGAGGGUGUACGGCCACAUUGGGACUGAGAUACGGCCCAGACUCCUACGGGAGGCAGCAGUGGGGAAUAUUGCACAAUGGGCGCAAGCCUGAUGCAGCGACGCCGCGUGGGGGAUGAAGGCCUUCGGGUUGUAAACUCCUUUCGCUAGGGACGAAGCUUUUUGUGACGGUACCUAGAUAAGAAGCACCGGCUAACUACGUGCCAGCAGCCGCGGUAAUACGUAGGGUGCGAGCGUUGUCCGGAAUUACUGGGCGUAAAGGGCUCGUAGGUGGUUUGUCGCGUCGUCUGUGAAAUUCUGGGGCUUAACUCCGGGCGUGCAGGCGAUACGGGCAUAACUUGAGUGCUGUAGGGGUAACUGGAAUUCCUGGUGUAGCGGUGAAAUGCGCAGAUAUCAGGAGGACACCGAUGGCGAAGGCAG
This 647-nucleotide ribosomal RNA is filed under the name uncultured Actinomycetales bacterium. RNAcentral's name for it is "bacterial SSU rRNA". It matches the Rfam family "Bacterial small subunit ribosomal RNA", at positions 63 to 724 of the family's 1533-position model. Lineage: Bacteria; Bacillati; Actinomycetota; Actinomycetes; Actinomycetales. The record is from RNAcentral.